GCGAAAUGGAGCCAAUGCUUAAAGGCGGCGGAAAGAUUUCCGAUGUAUGCUCGACUG
RNAcentral lists this small RNA (57 nucleotides) under Sinorhizobium meliloti 2011. RNAcentral's name for it is "putative ncRNA". The record is from RNAcentral. Lineage: Bacteria; Pseudomonadati; Pseudomonadota; Alphaproteobacteria; Hyphomicrobiales; Rhizobiaceae.